This 498-nucleotide ribosomal RNA is filed under the name uncultured bacterium. Its description in RNAcentral is "partial 16S ribosomal RNA". It matches the Rfam family "Bacterial small subunit ribosomal RNA", at positions 28 to 507 of the family's 1533-position model. The record is from RNAcentral.
GACGAACGCUGGCGGCGUGCCUAAUACAUGCAAGUCGAGCGGACGAAUCGAAAGCUUGCUUUUGAUUCGUUAGCGGCGGACGGGUGAGUAACACGUGGGCAACCUGCCCUGUAGACGGGGAUAACACCGAGAAAUCGGUGCUAAUACCGGAUAACACGCAAUGUCGCAUGACGUUUCGUUGAAAGACGGCGCAUGCUGUCGCUACAGGAUGGGCCCGCGGCGCAUUAGCUAGUUGGUGAGGUAACGGCUCACCAAGGCGACGAUGCGUAGCCGACCUGAGGGGGGGAUCGGCCACACUGGGACGUGGACACGGCCCAGACUCCUACGGGAGGCAGCAGUAAGGAAUCUUCCGCAAUGGACGAAAAUCUGACGGAGCAACGCCGCGUGAGCGAAGAAGACCUUCGGGUCGUAAAGCUCUGUUGUUAGGGAAGAACAAGUAACGCAGUAACUGGCGUUACCGUGACGGUACCUAACGAGAAAGCCACGGCUAACUACGUG